CCACCGUGCCUGGCCCCCACGCUCGUUUUAUUUCAAUUCUUCCAUCUCUAUGGCCUUCUCUGUCCUUUUUCUUGGUCACCACCUGUAUGACCAGUGCCAAUUCUCAUAGCCCCCUGCCUCACCAUUAUCCUCAUCCUCAGUUCCAACCUUACUAUCGGGGAUCUCCCUCUUGACCUUCACCCCACUCUCAGCUGAACCAGAAGCUCAGAUCCCUAAGGAAGAAGAGGAGGGAGAGGUAAGACAUGGGUGUCCCGUAGUUCCACAGACAAGCCAGGAACAGGACCCAUGCUUUGGCAUUUCUCAGCUGCUCUCCCUGCAGGUGGAAAGAUCAAGCACCUCCAGGUAGGCAACGUGAACCGAAAGAGACCGGUGAGUUACUGGCUAGAGUUGGAGUGGCCACAGUGGGGGAUUAUGGUUUCGGUUUGGAGCAGAGUAGGGCCCUCAGUUGGCCAGAAGUAAUUGACCACUCAGCUUUACUCUCCAGAAAGCUGCGGCCAUCUCAACCCCAUUUUCUCUUCACUGUUCUUUCUCUUAACCAAUGAGCUUCCAACUGUAGGGAAAUGGAGCUGCAUCCUUCUCAGGAGGUACCUAGUCAUUUAAAAAAAUACAUUUAUUGGCCGGGCGCAGUGGCUCACGCCUGUAAUCCCAGCACUUUGGGAGGCCAAGGCGGGUGGAUCACGAGGUCAGGAGUUCAAGACUAGCCUGGCCAAGAUGGUGAAACCCUGUCUCUACUGACAAUACAGAAAUUAGCAGAGCGCGGUGGCAGGCGCCUGUAAUCCCAGCUACUCAGGAAGCUGAGGCAGGAGAAUCGCUUGAACCCAGGAGGUGGAGGUUGCAGUGAGCCGAGAUCGUGCCACUGCACUCCAGCCUGGAGACAGAGCGAGACUCUCUCUCAAAAAACAAACAAACAAACAAACAAAAAACAAGUACACACACACAAAUGAGUACAAAUAAGUGUAAAAUCUGAACAACAUCAGUGGAUUGUAUCGAUGUCUAUAUCUUGGUUGUGGUAUUGUACUACAGUUGUGGAAAAUGUUACCAUCAGGGAAAACUGAGGAAAGGACACGAAGAUCUCCAUUAUUUAUUAUGACAACUUGUGA
RNAcentral lists this long non-coding RNA (1100 nucleotides) under Homo sapiens (human). RNAcentral describes it as "HSALNT0260764". The record is from RNAcentral. Lineage: Eukaryota; Metazoa; Chordata; Mammalia; Primates; Hominidae.